UGGGGGAAUAUUGGGCAAUGGGCGAAAGCCUGACCCAGCAACGCCGCGUGAGGGAAGAAGGUUUUUCGGAUUGUAAACCUCUGUCCUUGGGGACGAAGGAAGUGACGGUACCCAAGGAGGAAGCCCCGGCUAACUACGUGCCAGCAGCCGCGGUAAUACGUAGGGGGCAAGCGUUAUCCGGAAUUAUUGGGCGUAAAGAGUGCGUAGGUGGUAACCUAAGCAGGGGGUGAAAGGCAAAGGCUUAACCAUUGUCAGCCCCCUGAACUGGGCUACUUGAGUGCAGGAGAGGAAAGCGGAAUUCCUAGUGUAGCGGUGAAAUGCGUAGAUAUUAGGAGGAACACCAGUGGCGAAGGCGGCUUUCUGGACUGUUACUGACACUGAGGCACGAAAGUGUGGGGAGCAAACAGGAUUAGAUACCCUGGUAGU
RNAcentral lists this ribosomal RNA (426 nucleotides) under uncultured bacterium. RNAcentral's name for it is "bacterial SSU rRNA". It matches the Rfam family "Bacterial small subunit ribosomal RNA", at positions 354 to 794 of the family's 1533-position model. The record is from RNAcentral.